UUGAAUAUUGUGCAAAAAUGUGACCCCACAGAUUUAAAACUAGGAAGAAUGGAAUAAGAACUAGCAAUUUAAUCUGUAGUGAAGGUCUGGGCAGCAUACAAUGAUUCGACAGUACGGAUAAUGUACCAUUGUUCUUCGAGCUUCACGCAUCACUUUUGUUUUCUACUUCAUGUUUUCCAUCCCUCUCUCCCGCCAGCUGUGCGU
This 204-nucleotide long non-coding RNA is filed under the name Olea europaea subsp. europaea. Lineage: Eukaryota; Viridiplantae; Streptophyta; Magnoliopsida; Lamiales; Oleaceae. The record is from RNAcentral.